AUUGAACGCUGGCGGCAGGCCUAACACAUGCAAGUCGAGCGGAUGAAGGGAGCUUGCUCCUGGAUUCAGCGGCGGACGGGUGAGUAAUGCCUAGGAAUCUGCCUGGUAGUGGGGGAUAACGUCCGGAAACGGGCGCUAAUACCGCAUACGUCCUGAGGGAGAAAGUGGGGGAUCUUCGGACCUCACGCUAUCAGAUGAGCCUAGGUCGGAUUAGCUAGUUGGUGGGGUAAAGGCCUACCAAGGCGACGAUCCGUAACUGGUCUGAGAGGAUGAUCAGUCACACUGGAACUGAGACACGGUCCAUGCUCCUACGGGAGGCAGCAGUGGGGAAUAUUGGACAAUGGGCGAAAGCCUGAUCCAGCCAUGCCGCGUGUGUGAAGAAGGUCUUCGGAUUGUAAAGCACUUUAAGUUGGGAGGAAGGGCAGUAAGUUAAUACCUUGCUGUUUUGACGUUACCAACAGAAUAAGCACCGGCUAACUUCGUG
This 484-nucleotide ribosomal RNA is filed under the name uncultured bacterium. RNAcentral's name for it is "partial 16S ribosomal RNA". It matches the Rfam family "Bacterial small subunit ribosomal RNA", at positions 30 to 507 of the family's 1533-position model. The record is from RNAcentral.